AGGGGUGCUGAAGGACUCAUUCAACAUUUGAAUCAUCUCCUCAGUCUGUGCAUCCUCGAACUUACGAUUAAGUUCAUCGUUCAUAGCUGCCUCAUCACGCUAUGCGCAGUCAUGAGAUCAUUGAGCCACUUUAUGUAAGUAUCUCUCACAGCAUGAGGAGCAUUGGUUGCAGGUUCUUCAGAUGCCUGAUCCAUAAGAACGUACAAAAUUCUCUUGUACUCCAACAUGAUCUUCAAGU
Molecule: long non-coding RNA, 238 nt
Filed under: Elaeis guineensis (African oil palm)
Lineage: Eukaryota; Viridiplantae; Streptophyta; Magnoliopsida; Arecales; Arecaceae
Description: long non-coding RNA (EGUI_LNC067323)
Source: RNAcentral